RNAcentral lists this ribosomal RNA (467 nucleotides) under uncultured bacterium. RNAcentral describes it as "partial 16S ribosomal RNA". It matches the Rfam family "Bacterial small subunit ribosomal RNA", at positions 29 to 507 of the family's 1533-position model. The record is from RNAcentral.
AGUGAACGCUGACAGAAUGCUUAACACAUGCAAGUCAACUUGAAUUUGGGUUUUUAACUUCGGUUUGGGUGGCGGACGGGUGAGUAACGCGUAAAGAACUUGCCUCACAGCUAGGGACAACAUUUGGAAACGAAUGCUAAUACCUAAUAUUAUGAUAAUAGGGCAUCCUAUAAUUAUGAAAGCUAUAAGCGCUGUGAGAGAGCUUUGCGUCCCAUUAGCUAGUCGGAGAGGUAACGGCUCACCAAGGCGAUGAUGGGUAGCCGGCCUGAGAGGGUGAUCGGCCACAAGGGGACUGAGACACGGCCCUUACUCCUACGGGAGGCAGCAGUGGGGAAUAUUGGACAAUGGACCGAGAGUCUGAUCCAGCAAUUCUGUGUGCACGAUGAAGUUUUUCGGAAUGUAAAGUGCUUUCAGUUGGGAAGAAACAAAUGACGGUACCAACAGAAGAAGUGACGGCUAAAUACGUG